Long non-coding RNA from Solanum tuberosum (potato), 734 nucleotides. RefSeq lists it as uncharacterized. The transcript has 3 exons. Lineage: Eukaryota; Viridiplantae; Streptophyta; Magnoliopsida; Solanales; Solanaceae. The record is from RefSeq and is a predicted model, not a curated record.
CCCAUUGCCAUCCCUACAUUGAAAUUUUCAAAGUGGAGUGAGUAGCUCUUUCAUUUGGAUUUUGGAGUACUUGCUCUUCAGCUUCAUUGCAAAACAAUUUUCUUGCAAGAAUAUUAAAGGAGUAAUCGGCUUGUAAGUUCACGCAGUCAUAGGCAUAGGCCUUUUUAUGUACUGAGUAUAUAUUUGACCGUUUGGUAAUGAAAUCAUUUAGUUACCAAAAAAAUAAUAAUCUUUGUUUCUAAAUAUAAACUCGAUCCAUGUAUUUUAUCUAUCCAUCUGGUUUUACGAGUAUGUGAACUGUCAAAUGUCUAAUUUAUAAUCAGGAGGUCUGAUUCACCUUAGAGAUGAGCCAAUUCUCAAUAUGUUACUGGCACAACUUUUCUGUUCAGUGCUUAUAGUGAUUAAUUAUCUAGCAAAGUACAAGCAAACGGUCAGCUGUGGUAAUCAAAAGUUCAAUUCAGCUGAUCUCAUGGACUUUGCCAAGCAACAGGGAAGAGCACAUAAAUAAGAGGAGUGACGCUGAUGAAUUUAUAUUAACGUUUGUACUGGAGAUGAUCACAAUGGGAGGCUUCAAGCUUAGAGUUCGAGCAUGACUAUAAAAUUCUCACGAGUCAAGAUAACAUUCCCCAAAACCAAUAGUACUUGACAGAAGGGGCUUCGGAUCCAGCAAUUGCCUCGAGAAAUUAUGAUUGCCGAACUUGAAUGUUAUCUUCUUGAUUGGCUUGUCUAGAAGA